AGUGAACGCUGGCGGUAGGCCUAACACAUGCAAGUCGAACGGCAGCACAGUAAGAGCUUGCUCUUACGGGUGGCGAGUGGCGGACGGGUGAGGAAUACAUCGGAAUCUACUUUUUCGUGGGGGAUAACGUAGGGAAACUUACGCUAAUACCGCAUACGACCUACGGGUAAAAGCAGGGGAUCUUCGGACCUUGCGCGAUUGAAUGAGCCGAUGUCGGAUUAGCUAGUUGGCGGGGUAAAGGCCCACCAAGGCGACGAUCCGUAGCUGGUCUGAGAGGAUGAUCAGCCACACUGGAACUGAGACACGGUCCAGACUCCUACGGGAGGCAGCAGUGGGGAAUAUUGGACAAUGGGGGCAAGCCUGAUCCAGCCAUACCGCGUGGGUGAAGAAGGCCUUCGGGUUGUAAAGCCCUUUUGUUGGGAAAGAAGAGCAGCAGGUUAAUACCCCGCUGUUCUGACGGUACCCAAAGAAUAAGCACCGGCUAACUUCGUG
This 492-nucleotide ribosomal RNA is filed under the name uncultured bacterium. RNAcentral describes it as "partial 16S ribosomal RNA". It matches the Rfam family "Bacterial small subunit ribosomal RNA", at positions 29 to 507 of the family's 1533-position model. The record is from RNAcentral.